RNAcentral lists this ribosomal RNA (459 nucleotides) under uncultured bacterium. Its description in RNAcentral is "partial 16S ribosomal RNA". It matches the Rfam family "Bacterial small subunit ribosomal RNA", at positions 338 to 795 of the family's 1533-position model. The record is from RNAcentral.
CCUACGGGUGGCAGCAGUGAGGAAUAUUGGUCAAUGGGAGAGAUCCUGAACCAGCCAAGCCGCGUGAGGGAAGACGGCCCUAUGGGUUGUAAACCUCUUUUGUCGGAGAACAAAACCCGGGACGUGUCCCGGACGGCGUGUAUCCGAAGAAAAAGCAUCGGCUAACUCCGUGCCAGCAGCCGCGGUAAUACGGAGGAUGCGAGCGUUAUCCGGAUUUAUGGGGUUUAAAGGGUGCGUAGGCGGUCCGUUAAGUCAGCGGUAAAAUUGCGGGGCUCAACCCCGUCGAGCCGUUGAGACUGGCAAACUUGAGUGGGCGAGAAGUACGCGGAAUGCGCGGUGUAGCGGUGAAAUGCAUAGAUAUCGCGCAGAAUUCCGAUUGCGAAGGCAGCGUACCGGCGCCAGACUGACGCUGAGGCACGAAAGCGUGGGGAUCGAACAGGAUUAGAUACCCGAGUAGUC